CCUACGGGAGGCAGCAGUGAGGAAUAUUGGUCAAUGGGCGAGAGCCUGAACCAGCCAAGUCGCGUGAGGGAGUACUGCCCUAUGGGUUGUAAACCUCUUUUGUCGGGGAGCAAAAUCCGGCCGUGUCCGGCUGUGAGAGUACCCUCAGAAAAAGCAUCGGCUAACUCCGUUCCAGCAGCCGCGGUAAUACGGAGGAUGCGAGCGUUAUCCGGAUUUAUUGGGUUUAAAGGGUGCGCAGGCGGAUUUUUAAGUCAGCGGUAAAAGCGUGGGGCUCAACCCCAGCCAGCCGUUGAAACUGGGGGGCUAGAGUGUGCGAGAGGUAGGCGGAAUGCGGGGUGUAGCGGUGAAAUGCAUAGAU
This 358-nucleotide ribosomal RNA is filed under the name uncultured bacterium. RNAcentral's name for it is "partial 16S ribosomal RNA". It matches the Rfam family "Bacterial small subunit ribosomal RNA", at positions 338 to 695 of the family's 1533-position model. The record is from RNAcentral.